This 65-nucleotide transfer RNA is filed under the name Sceliphron madraspatanum. Its description in RNAcentral is "tRNA-Met". The record is from RNAcentral. Lineage: Eukaryota; Metazoa; Arthropoda; Insecta; Hymenoptera; Sphecidae.
UUACAAAUAAGUUAAUAAAACUAUUGAACUCAUAAUUCAAAAUUAUAAUUUAUAUAUUUUGUAAA